GAUGAACGCUGGCGGCGUGCCUAAUACAUGCAAGUCGAGCGAACAGAUGAGGAGCUUGCUCCUCUGACGUUAGCGGCGGACGGGUGAGUAACACGUGGAUAACCUACCUAUAAGACUGGGAUAACUUCGGGAAACCGGAGCUAAUACCGGAUAAUAUAUUGAACCGCAUGGUUCAAUAGUGAAAGACGGUUUUGCUGUCACUUAUAGAUGGAUCCGCGCCGCAUUAGCUAGUUGGUAAGGUAACGGCUUACCAAGGCAACGAUGCGUAGCCGACCUGAGAGGGGGAGUCGCCCCCCUUGAACUUGGACACGGGCCAGACUCCUAAGGGAGGCAGCAGUAGGGAAUCUUCCGCAAUGGGCGAAAGCCUGACGGAGCAACGCCGCGUGAGUGAUGAAGGUCUUCGGAUCGUAAAACUCUGUUAUUAGGGAAGAACAAAUGUGUAAGUAACUAUGCACGUCUUGACGGUACCUAAUCAGAAAGCCACGGCUAACUACGUG
Molecule: ribosomal RNA, 497 nt
Filed under: uncultured bacterium
Lineage: Bacteria
Description: partial 16S ribosomal RNA
Rfam family: Bacterial small subunit ribosomal RNA
Source: RNAcentral